GAUGAACGCUAGCUGGAGGCUUAAUACAUGCAAGUCGAGCGGGAUUGGGUAGCAAUACCCAUGAGAGCGGCGCACGGGUGAGUAACGCGUACACGACCUACCUCUGACAGGGGGAUAGCCCCUGGGAAACUGGGAUUAAUACCGCAUAUUAUUCUGAAUAAUAAAGGUUUGGAAUGAAAGCUGAGGCGGUCAGAGAUGGGUGUGCGUCUGAUUAGCUAGUUGGUAGGGUAACGGCCUACCAAGGCGAUGAUCAGUAGGGGGCGUGAGAGCGUGGUCCCCCACACGGGUACUGAGACACGGACCCGACUCCUACGGGAGGCAGCAGUGGGGAAUCUUGCGCGAAUGGGGCGAAAGCCUUGACGCAGCAACGCCGCGUGGGGGAUGAAGGCUCUCGGGUUGUAAACCCCUUUCAGCAGGGACGAAAUUGACGGUACCUGCAGAAGAAGCCCCGGCUAACUACGUG
RNAcentral lists this ribosomal RNA (463 nucleotides) under uncultured bacterium. RNAcentral describes it as "bacterial SSU rRNA". It matches the Rfam family "Bacterial small subunit ribosomal RNA", at positions 28 to 507 of the family's 1533-position model. The record is from RNAcentral.